This 2929-nucleotide ribosomal RNA is filed under the name Propionivibrio sp. RNAcentral describes it as "23S ribosomal RNA". It matches the Rfam family "Bacterial large subunit ribosomal RNA". The record is from RNAcentral. Lineage: Bacteria; Pseudomonadati; Pseudomonadota; Betaproteobacteria; Rhodocyclales; Rhodocyclaceae.
GAUCAAGCGAAUAAGUGCAUGUGGUGGAUGCCUUGGCGAUUACAGGCGAAGAAGGACGUGCAAGCCUGCGAAAAGCUCUGGGGAGCUGGCAAUGAAGCUUUGAUCCAGAGAUGUCCGAAUGGGGAAACCCACUCCGCAAGGAGUAUCCCAUCCUGAAUACAUAGGGGUGAGGAAGCGAACCCGGUGAACUGAAACAUCUAAGUAGCCGGAGGAAAAGAAAUCAACCGAGAUUCCCAAAGUAGUGGCGAGCGAAAUGGGACCAGCCUGCAAGUGAUAGCGAUUGUGUUAGUGGAAGCUUCUGGAAAGUUGCGCCGUAGUGGGUGAUAGCCCCGUACGCGAAAACACGAUGGUGGUACUAAGCUUGCGACAAGUAGGGCGGGCACGAGAAACCUUGUCUGAACAUGGGGGACCAUCCUCCAAGGCUAAAUACUCGUAAUCGACCGAUAGUGAACCAGUACCGUGAGGGAAAGGCGAAAAGAACCCCGGGGGGGAGUGAAAUAGAUCCUGAAACCGCAUGCAUACAAACAGUGGGAGCGGACUUGUUCCGUGACUGCGUACCUUUUGUAUAAUGGGUCAGCGACUUACGUUCAGUAGCGAGCUUAACCGAAUAGGGGAGGCGUAGGGAAACCGAGUCUGAUAAGGGCGAUAGUUGCUGGGCGUGAACCGAAACCAAGUGAUCUAUCCAUGGCCAGGAUGAAGGUGCGGUAACACGCACUGGAGGUCCGAACCCACUAAUGUUGAAAAAUUAGGGGAUGAGCUGUGGAUAGGGGUGAAAGGCUAAACAAACUUGGAAAUAGCUGGUUCUCUCCGAAAACUAUUUAGGUAGUGCCUCACGUAUCACCUUCGGGGGUAGAGCACUGUUAUGGCUAGGGGUCAUCGCGACUUACCAAACCAUUGCAAACUCCGAAUACCGAAGAGUGCGAGCGUGGGAGACAGACAUCAGGUGCUAACGUCCGGUGUCGAGAGGGAAACAACCCAGACCGCCGAUUAAGGUCCCCAAGACAUAGUUAAGUGGGAAACGAGGUGGGAAGGCUCAGACAGCCAGGAGGUUGGCUUAGAAGCAGCCAUCCUUUAAAGAAAGCGUAAUAGCUCACUGGUCGAGUCGUCCUGCGCGGAAGAUGUAACGGGGCUCAAACUAUGCACCGAAAUCGCGGAUAUGUGCGUUCCACUUUAAUUCAUUCGAAGAAAAGCUUGGGCGACACUAACUUGCGCAGCAAGUUAUGUGGAGACCAAAGCCCGUCACUCACUGAUCGAGUCGAUUUGACGAGAUGAGGGGUGAGAUGCGAAUGAGUGAAUUAAAGGGAACGCACAUAUGGUAGGAGAGCGUUCUGUAGGCCGUUGAAGGUGUCUUGAGAAGGAUGCUGGAGGUAUCAGAAGUGCGAAUGCUGACAUGAGUAGCGAUAAAGCGGGUGAAAGGCCCGCUCGCCGAAAGCCCAAGGUUUCCCACGCAACGCUAAUCGGCGUGGGGUGAGUCGGCCCCUAAGGGUGUUGGACGUCCCGGUUCAAGCGUGUAGUCGUGCCCUGUAGGCAAAUCCGCAGGGCUUAGAUGAGGCGUGAUAACGAGUGGCCUUGUGCCGCGAAGUGAUUGAUACCAUGCUUCCAAGAAAAGCCUCUAAGCUUCAGUUACAAAGAGACCGUACCGCAAACCGACACAGGUGGGCAGGAUGAGAAAUUCUAAGGCGCUUGAGAGAACUCAGGAGAAGGAACUCGGCAAAUUAGCACCGUAACUUCGGGAGAAGGUGCGCCCUGGUAGCGUGAAAGCCCUCGCGGCUGGAGCGUGAAAGGGUUGCAGUGAAAUGGUGGCUGCGACUGUUUAAUAAAAACACAGCACUCUGCAAACACGAAAGUGGACGUAUAGGGUGUGACGCCUGCCCGGUGCCGGAAGGUUAAGUGAUGGGGUGCAAGCUCUUGAUCGAAGCCCCGGUAAACGGCGGCCGUAACUAUAACGGUCCUAAGGUAGCGAAAUUCCUUGUCGGGUAAGUUCCGACCUGCACGAAUGGCGUAACGAUGGCCACACUGUCUCCUCCUGAGACUCAGCGAAGUUGAAAUGUUUGUGAAGAUGCAAUCUCCCCGCGGCAAGACGGAAAGACCCCAUGAACCUUUACUGUAGCUUUGCAUUGGACUUUGAACCGGUCUGUGUAGGAUAGGUGGGAGGCUUUGAAGCUGGGACGCUAGUUCUGGUGGAGCCAACCUUGAAAUACCACCCUGGUUUGUUUGAGGUUCUAACCAUGGCCCGUGAAUCCGGGUCUGGGACCGUGCAUGGUUGGCAGUUUGACUGGGGCGGGCUCCUCCCAAAGUGUAACGGAGGAGUACGAAGGUACGCUAGGUACGGUCGGACAUCGUGCUAAUAGUGCAAUGGCAUAAGCGUGCUUGACUGCGAGACCCACAAGUCGAGCAGGUACGAAAAAGGUCAUAGUGAUCCGGUGGUUCUGUAUGGAAGGGCCAUCGCUCAACGGAUAAAAGGUACUCUGGGGAUAACAGGCUGAUACCGCCCAAGAGUUCAUAUCGACGGCGGUGUUUGGCACCUCGAUGUCGGCUCAUCACAUCCUGGGGCUGUAGCCGGUCCCAAGGGUAUGGCUGUUCGCCAUUUAAAGUGGUACGUGAGCUGGGUUUAAAACGUCGUGAGACAGUUUGGUCCCCUAUCUACCGUGGGCGCUGGAAAUUUGAAGGGCCUGCUCCUAGUACGAGAGGACCGGGUGGACUAACCUCUGGUUAUACCGGUUAUGACGCCAGUCGUAUCGCCGGGUAGCUAAGUUGGGAAGAGAUAAACGCUGAAAGCAUCUAAGCGUGAAACUCGCCUUAAGAUAAGAUUUCCCCGGGGACUUGAUCCCCUGAAGGUCGUCGAAGACCACGACGUUGAUAGGCUGGGUGUGGAAGCGCAGCAAUGCGUUAAGCUAACCGAUACUAAUUGCCCGUGAGGCUUGAUCCU